ACGGCUCAGUAACACGUGGAUAACCUGCCCUUGGGUCCGGCAUAACCCCGGGAAACUGGGGAUAAUUCCGGAUAACGCACAUAUGCUGGAAUGCUUUAUGCGUAAAAUGGAUUCGUCUGCCCAAGGAUGGGUCUGCGGCCUAUCAGGUAGUAGUGGGUGUAAUGUACCUACUAGCCUACGACGGGUACGGGUUGUGAGAGCAAGAGCCCGGAGAUGGAUUCUGAGACAUGAAUCCAGGCCCUACGGGGCGCAGCAGGCGCGAAAACUUUACAAUGCGGGAAACCGUGAUAAGGGGACACCGAGUGCCAGCAUCCUAUGCUGGCUGUCCGGGUGUGUAAAAUACACCUGUUAGCAAGGGCCGGGCAAGACCGGUGCCAGCCGCCGCGGUAACACCGGCGGCCCGAGUGGUGAUCGUGAUUAUUGGGUCUAAAGGGUCCGUAGCCGGUUUGGUCAGUCCUCCGGGAAAUCUGACAGCUUAACUGUUAGGCUUUCGGAGGAUACUGCCAGACUUGGAACCGGGAGAGGUAAGAGGUACUACAGGGGUAGGAGUGAAAUCUUGUAAUCCCUGUGGGACCACCUGUGGCGAAGGCGUCUUACCAGAACGGGUUCGACGGUGAGGGACGAAAGCUGGGGGCACGAACCGGAUUAGAUACCCGGGUAGUCCCAGCCGUAAACGAUGCUCGCUAGGUGUCAGGCAUGGCGCGACCGUGUCUGGUGCCGCAGGGAAGCCGUGAAGCGAGCCACCUGGGAAGUACGGCCGCAAGGCUGAAACUUAAAGGAAUUGGCGGGGGAGCAC
Molecule: ribosomal RNA, 796 nt
Filed under: uncultured Methanosarcinaceae archaeon
Lineage: Archaea; Methanobacteriati; Methanobacteriota; Methanomicrobia; Methanosarcinales; Methanosarcinaceae
Description: bacterial SSU rRNA
Rfam family: Archaeal small subunit ribosomal RNA
Source: RNAcentral